RNAcentral lists this ribosomal RNA (465 nucleotides) under uncultured bacterium. RNAcentral's name for it is "partial 16S ribosomal RNA". It matches the Rfam family "Bacterial small subunit ribosomal RNA", at positions 28 to 507 of the family's 1533-position model. The record is from RNAcentral.
GACGAACGCUGGCGGCGUGCUUAACACAUGCAAGUCGAACGGUAAGGCUCCAGCUUGCUGGGGUACACGAGUGGCGAACGGGUGAGUAACACGUGGGUGACCUGCCCUGCACUUCGGGAUAAGCCUGGGAAACUGGGUCUAAUACCGGAUAGGACCAUGGUGUGGAUACUGUGGUGGAAAGUUUUUUCGGUGUGGGAUGGGCCCGCGGCCUAUCAGCUUGUUGGUGGGGUAAUGGCCUACCAAGGCGGCGACGGGUAGCCGGCCUGAGAGGGUGGACGGCCACAUUGGGACUGAGACACGGCCCAGACUCCUACGGGAGGCAGCAGUGGGGAAUAUUGCACAAUGGGCGGAAGCCUGAUGCAGCGACGCCGCGUGGGGAUGACGGCCUUCGGGUUGUAAACUCCUUUCACCAUCGACGAAGGGUUUCUGACGGUAGAUGGAGAAGAAGCACCGGCUAACUACGUG